GAUGAACGCUGGCGGCGUGCCUAAUACAUGCAAGUCGAGCGAACAGACGAGGAGCUUGCUCCUCUGACGUUAGCGGCGGACGGGUGAGUAACACGUGGAUAACCUACCUAUAAGACUGGGAUAACUUCGGGAAACCGGAGCUAAUACCGGAUAAUAUAUUGAACCGCAUGGUUCAAUAGUGAAAGACGGUAUUGCUGUCACUUAUAGAUGGAUCCGCGCCGCAUUAGCUAGUUGGUAAGGUAACGGCUUACCAAGGCAACGAUGCGUAGCCGACCUGAGAGGGUGAUCGGCCACACUGGAACUGAGACACGGUCCAGACUCCUACGGGAGGCAGCAGUAGGGAAUCUUCCGCAAUGGGCGAAAGCCUGACGGAGAACGCCGCGUGAGUGAUGAAGGUCUUCGGAUCGUAAAACUCUGUUAUUAGGGAAGAACAAAUGUGUAAGUAACUAUGCACGUCUUGACGGUACCUAAUCAGAAAGCCACGGCUAACUACGUG
RNAcentral lists this ribosomal RNA (496 nucleotides) under uncultured bacterium. Its description in RNAcentral is "partial 16S ribosomal RNA". It matches the Rfam family "Bacterial small subunit ribosomal RNA", at positions 28 to 507 of the family's 1533-position model. The record is from RNAcentral.